GAGCCACAUUGCUACGGAAGGGCUGGGACCCAGACACAGGGUCCAGAGUGUCCUCGAGGUAUCAGAAGAACUCCUGGAGAGCAAGCUGAGGGCUGUGUCAUCGCCACACCCUCCAUGGGUCCCUGCUCCUGAGUUAGGCUAUGCCCAGCCGCCCAGUGACUCAGAAGCUAUGCACACAAGGGCCCUGCUGAAGGACAGCGGCUUCUGCUUCCUCUGAUCCUGGCAGCCUGGAACUUCCUGAGAGGACUGGGCAUGUGGAUAGCCAUGGUGGGGACGUCCUUCAAACUGGGGAAUGGGCUCCCCUAGACACAGUCGCUUCCACAGGAAUCUUCUAGAGCCUCACCCAGGGCAGAGCGGACACCCGCAGCAGCCUGGAGUU
This 379-nucleotide small RNA is filed under the name Pan troglodytes (chimpanzee). RNAcentral describes it as "sense intronic". Lineage: Eukaryota; Metazoa; Chordata; Mammalia; Primates; Hominidae. The record is from RNAcentral.